This 1660-nucleotide long non-coding RNA is filed under the name Vombatus ursinus (common wombat). RNAcentral describes it as "lncRNA (ENSVURG00010007910.1)". The record is from RNAcentral. Lineage: Eukaryota; Metazoa; Chordata; Mammalia; Diprotodontia; Vombatidae.
GGGAAGGACAUCUCAGAGGGAGUGAGUAGGGAGUAGGAGUAGAGAGAAACAGGAAAGAGACAGCUUCUCUGAGCAGCAAAUCCCCAAAUCUUCACACCUAUUAUCACCACCACUUUCCCUCCUCCUUUCUCUUCAGCUUGUGGGUAUUCUCAGAAGGAUGGGGAACAUAACUCAUAGUCACCCUGGAGAAUGACUUGCAUUCUCAGUAUGUCCAGUCAGCACAUGUAUAUCUCAGCCUCAGUAAUCACAAGAUUUCAGGGAAAAUUAAAAGCAGUUCCUCAUUGACGAUUGGUUGGGGCCCCUGUUUUUUUUCUUCCUUUUGGGGAAAGGGCAUCAAGAAGGAGGGUGAAAGGCAAGAGGCUGAUGAGAAAUAGAAGAGAAGAAAAUGGUGCAUGACGGGAGAAAUGAAGACAGAAGAUGGCAAAAAGUAACCGAAGAGCCCAUCAUAUCAAAGAAGACCAAGAGAACGCUGAAGGAAGAAAACAGAUUUUUUUUUUUAAUGAGGAUCGGGAAUUGCAAUAUCAUUUUGUUUCUGCUAAAGAUAAGAUUAUUUGCUUGCUUUGUGAUAAUGCAAUAUCAACAUUAAAGAAAUUCAACGCUCGUCAGCAUUAUAACACUCAUAAGGACCACAAAUAUUUUAAAUUAGAAGGAGAGGUGUGAAAGGUUGUAUUGCAGAAAUUAAAAGAUGAAAAGCAAAAGCAAAGACAAUUCUUUCAAGCAGCAAUAAGACCUGGAAAUAACGCCACUGAAGCAACUUAUAAAGUAGCUUAUAUAUUUGGAAGAAAAGGGAAGUCAUUCGGUGUUGUAGAAAUUAUGAAACAAUGCAUUGUUGAAGUUGUAGAAUGCUUAGACCCUGAUAACAUUUCAAAGUACAAACAACUGCCUCUUUCAAGGAGAACCAUAAGUGAUUGGCAGUAGGAAUUAGCCUUCAACUUAACAGAUUAAUUUCAUGCAAUACUUCAAAAGGAAAAUAUACAUUAUUCAAUAGCUUUGGAUGAAUCAACUGAUAUUACUGACUCAGCACACAUUUUGUACUUCAUUUGGGUGACAACAGAAGAUUUUUUUUGCAUCAAAGAAUUUCUUGCUUUGGGUACUCUUUUUAAAAAAAAUUUUUUUUUUAGGCAAUUGAGGUUAAGUGACUUGCCCAUGGUCACACAGCUAGCAAGUGUCAAGUGUUUGGUCUGAGGCGGGUCCUCCUGACUUCAGGGCCAGUGCUUUAUCCACUGCACCACCUAGCUGCCCCUGGGCACUCUUGUGAACAGAACACAGAGAAUAGAUAUUUUCAACAACUUUCAAGAUAAAUGUUGUGAAGUUGGACUGAAUUUGGUAAAUUUAAUGAGUAUAUGUACAGAUGGUACACUUUUCAUGACAGGAAAACAUGAAGGGUUUAUUGCACAGUUUAAAAAAAAAAAAGCAUUAACAGAUCCAGAUGCUCUCUUUUCUUUUCAUUCUAUCUUACAUCAGCAAAAUCUCUAUGCUAAACCUACUAUUUCCAGUGAUACUUUGCAACAAGUUAUAAGUAUUAUUAACUAUAUUUGUGCAAAUGCAACAUGACAUCAUCAGUUUUGUAAUGGGCUAAAGUUGAACAAUGAGGUAUUCAACUGGAUUUGCUGUAUCAUUCUAAUGUGCAUUGGCUAUCACAGGGACAGGUGUUAGUCAA